UAGGUACUCCCUCCGUCCCGAAUUACUUGUCUUAGAUUUGUCUAGAUACGGUUGUAUCAAGAAAUGUUUUAGUGUUAGAUACAUCCGUAUCAAGACAAGUAAUUUGGGAGGGAGGUAAUAGUUC
This is a non-coding RNA of Triticum aestivum (bread wheat), 124 nucleotides long. The record is from Rfam. Lineage: Eukaryota; Viridiplantae; Streptophyta; Magnoliopsida; Poales; Poaceae.